This is a small nucleolar RNA of Euleptes europaea (tarantolino), 74 nucleotides long. RefSeq annotates it as small nucleolar RNA SNORD19. The record is from RefSeq and is a predicted model, not a curated record. The transcript has a single exon. NCBI's taxonomy places the organism in Eukaryota, Metazoa, Chordata, Lepidosauria, Squamata, Sphaerodactylidae.
GAGAAAUGAGGACAUACCCUAUGUCUUACUGUUACAGUGAAGACUUCAGAUCCAACUCUGAUCUUGCUCUACAG